ACUAAGGAUUCCUAGUAGCGGCGAGCGAGCGGGAAGAGCUCAAAUUUAUAAUCUGGCACCUUCGGUGUCCGAGUUGUAAUCUCUAGAAAUGUUUUCCGCGUUGGACCGCACACAAGUCUGUUGGAAUACAGCGGCAUAGUGGUGAGACCCCCGUAUAUGGUGCGGACGCCCAGCGCUUUGUGAUACAUUUUCGAAGAGUCGAGUUGUUUGGGAAUGCAGCUCAAAUUGGGUGGUAAAUUCCAUCUAAAGCUAAAUAUUGGCGAGAGACCGAUAGCGAACAAGUACCGUGAGGGAAAGAUGAAAAGCACUUUGGAAAGAGAGUUAACAGUACGUGAAAUUGUUGGAAGGGAAACGCUUGAAGUCAGACUUGCUUGCCGAGCAAUCGGUUUGCAGGCCAGCAUCAGUUUUCCGGGAUGGAUAAUGGUAAAGAGAAGGUAGCAGUUUCGGCUGUGUUAUAGCUCUCUACUGGAUACAUCCUGGGGGACUGAGGAACGCAGUGUGCCUUUGGCGGGGGUUUCGACCUCUUCACACUUAGGAUGCUGGUGGAAUGGCUUUAAACGACCCGUCUUGAACC
Molecule: ribosomal RNA, 574 nt
Filed under: Saccharomyces cerevisiae (brewer's yeast)
Lineage: Eukaryota; Fungi; Ascomycota; Saccharomycetes; Saccharomycetales; Saccharomycetaceae
Description: eukaryotic LSU rRNA
Rfam family: Eukaryotic large subunit ribosomal RNA
Source: RNAcentral